GUCCAAGAAUAAAUUGACCAAGACGUUCCUGGUGCUUGGGCUAAUAGGAGCUUAAGUUUUUGGUGUCCAAAAGGCAGGUGUGUCCAGUUCUCCCGUGGAACGUUAUUGUACUCUCCGCAAUUUUUCCUGCAUCCGGCGAAAUUUUGCAAAUUCUACAUUUCAGCAGCCGCCAGCCAACGCAGCCCUAGAAAAAGAGGGUCAGACUGACGUCCGUGGGAUUGCACUCGUUUAUGUCAGGUCUGAGUUUGGUCCCAGGGUUCUCGCUGCCAUUCUGGGGUGAAUAUGUGGUGACCCAUGACCCUGACAGCAUUGCUGACUUUUAUAAACCACUUAAGAUCCGAGUUACAAGAAGAUAAACAACGUGGGAGCAAAUGGCGGGUGUGAUGCAGAUCAGGACUGCAGUAUUUG
Mauremys reevesii (Reeves's turtle) is the source of this 408-nucleotide long non-coding RNA. RefSeq lists it as uncharacterized. The transcript is spliced from 3 exons. The record is from RefSeq and is a predicted model, not a curated record. Lineage: Eukaryota; Metazoa; Chordata; Testudines; Geoemydidae.